RNAcentral lists this long non-coding RNA (1051 nucleotides) under Anas platyrhynchos platyrhynchos (common mallard). RNAcentral's name for it is "lncRNA (ENSAPLG00000029662.1)". The record is from RNAcentral. Lineage: Eukaryota; Metazoa; Chordata; Aves; Anseriformes; Anatidae.
GACAGUUGCUAUUCUUUGUAAUGGCAGAGGUCAAAACAACGUGGGAGUCUCUUCUGCUGGUAAACUGAGUUUCAGUGAAGUGGAAAAAUAAUAACGCAUCAGCACGAGUGAUAUUUAGUAUCCUUAACCCUGAGGUUCUGGUGUGUAAAAUGUCAUUUGUCUUAAAUAUAUUUUUUUCAGCAAAUUGUGUUUCCUUGCCUCAGCUUUUAAAAUGCAAUACAUCUUCAGUGUUCCCAAAUAGCAGUCCUGUACCUGUGAGUCAGUGACUGUGGGAUUGCAGGUCUCACCCCCGUGCCGUGUUGCUGCUCCUCUCACAGAGUUAAGAGAUCCCUUGAUGGAGAUGUCAUUCCUUCACCCUCUGGAGAAGUGAACCCUCCUCCUGCUUUUUGGUUCCAACAGUUGGGAUGCAUGCAUGGACCAGUCAUGGAAAUAGCAAUUUCUGUCUAUGGCUUUGUUUCAGACAUGAAAGUGCAGCGUAAUGGGCUGCGUGCUUUAAUGAUGUGCUGAGAGUAGCAGAAUGGAAGAGGUUUUGUUUGUCCCCUGCUGUCAUUUCCCGCUGUGCCAACUAUCAGGCACUUAAUCACCAUGGUAUCCUGUACAUGAGGCAGUGUUAAUGCCUGUGGGACACGUGGGCUUGAAAGGACCUGUAGGCCAUAUCUUCAGUGUGAGCAGAGUAAACCCACCACUUUCAGUCCAGGGAAUCUGCUUAUGUUGCCUGAGGACCUGUCCCAGGGCUCCUCUCGAAGCCGAGUUGUCUGCUAUUUCUGUAAAUAAUGCACUUGGGCAAGCUUGUGCUAGAGAAAAAUGCUGACUUGGCAAGUACAGUGCUGAAAGUAUUUUUCUGCUGCUAUACACAACUGCGGGAUGCGUUGGCCUUGUCUCCACAGAAAUGUCUUCUGACUGCACUGGAAAGUCUGCACUGUAAUUUAGGCUCAGUGAUUAUCUGAGCUCUGCUUUCUAGUGAUAAAGCACAUCUCUCCCCUUAAGUUGUGUUGAUCUUAUGAUGUGCAUUCACAUCACAUUAAAUAAAUUAAAAAAAAAAAAAGUUGCA